CGGGAAAUAGCACAGCCUGGUAGUGCGCGAGCUUUGGGUGCUCGAGGUCGGCGGUUCGAAUCCGCCUUUCCCGACUA
RNAcentral lists this transfer RNA (77 nucleotides) under Deltaproteobacteria bacterium. RNAcentral's name for it is "tRNA-Pro". It matches the Rfam family "tRNA". From Rfam's summary of the family: Transfer RNA (tRNA) molecules are approximately 80 nucleotides in length. Their secondary structure includes four short double-helical elements and three loops (D, anti-codon, and T loops). Lineage: Bacteria; Pseudomonadati; Myxococcota; Myxococcia. The record is from RNAcentral.